Octopus bimaculoides (California two-spot octopus) is the source of this 1075-nucleotide long non-coding RNA. RefSeq lists it as uncharacterized. Lineage: Eukaryota; Metazoa; Mollusca; Cephalopoda; Octopoda; Octopodidae. The record is from RefSeq and is a predicted model, not a curated record.
UGUUUUGCGUAUUCGCGCUAGCUAGUCGUAGGAUCAACUAGUCACGACUAGCUUGCGCAAAUGCGCGCACCGGGAUCAUUCUUCUUGAAUAGUACCGGACACGAAUAUCUCUCUUCUGCCUAAGGCCACAGACCACAUGCGGUUAUCGCCGUUCUAACGACAUUUGUCUAACCGUCUUCAUAUUAUCGUCAUUAUAAUGACGCCUGCCAGAUUUCAGCCUACCGACAUUUUCUUGCUUUAUCAUGACGACUUCUUCAGCAACUGACUUUAUCGCCACAGCCUUCGAGACAAUUGACUGUCAUGUUACCAACUUCGUUGACACCUGCUACGAAUUAAUUGUUCAUUGGAUAAUGUAGCCUGAGAUACAUUUAUGAUCUUUCCCACAUUUAAAAGCAAGAAAAAAAAGCAAAAGGAAAUGGAUGAAACAAAAGAGAAUCUUAACAACUGGAAUAACUUUUGAUCAAAGAAUCUGCUUUUGUUAAAGCUGAGGGAGGAAGAGAAGAGAGAAGGUAAGAGGAGGAGGAAGAGAAAAGAGGAGAUGUGGGAAGAGGAGGAAAAGAUGGAAGAAGUCGGAGGAGAGGAGGUGGCAAACAUGAAAGUUCUCAGUGGGGAACAAGUGAACUGUUUCCUAGUCACUUGAUCUGCUAGUUAGAGCAGCCCCAAAUCCUCUUUCUACUCUCUCAGCCUAAGAAAAAAACAAAGGACAUAUUGAAGAAAAUGGUCCCCACCGAACAUGAAACACAAUGAUGCAGUUUCUGAGUGAACAACAUGAAAGCUGAAGUGUCCUGCAAGUCUUUCGGAAUAGAUUAGCUUGAAUUGAGAAAUGGAGUAAAACAAGGAUGGCCAUUGCUCCCACAAACUUUUCUAUCUUCUGCUCAGCUAUGAUUGAGCUCACUUUGCCAGGGGUCAGCAAAGGGAUCGAUAGACUGAGGGUCUAUUUAUUGUUAUUAUUAUCAUCAUUAUUAUUAGUGAGUGAGAGAGUAGUGUUUUCCAUCAAAGUGACACUGGGGUACAAAUAUAUGAAGCUUAAUAUACCCAUCAUGACUAUCAGUCCGAUAAGGGUAUACCAGGCACA